RNAcentral lists this long non-coding RNA (1018 nucleotides) under Oryza brachyantha (malo sina). Its description in RNAcentral is "long non-coding RNA (OBRA_LNC000601)". The record is from RNAcentral. Lineage: Eukaryota; Viridiplantae; Streptophyta; Magnoliopsida; Poales; Poaceae.
ACCACACCACACCAAGCAGCUCAACUGCAAAGACCAGAAAGAACAGGAACAACCACUGGUAGAGUAGAGUACCCCCAGUAGUCCUAGAGUGGUAGUUGUGUUGGUGGUAUACACUCCGUGUUCUGGCAUAGGAUUCUUGUUGGGCAGCUGUUGAGUUUUGGGAGCCGCUACUGCAAGUAGCCAAGUACGCACUGGGAGAAAUUAAAACGCCUUGAAAAGUGAAAACUCAGAGGAGGAAAAAAAAAGAGAACUCCCAACAAAAGCUGCCCCCACCGGGCUAAAAAAAUCGGCUCAGACCUUACCCUUUUUUUUAAAUCCCUUUUAUCCUCUGCCUAAUAGAAACCCACACACAAACACAUGAAUUCGCAGGAGCUGCAGUCUAGAGAGAGGGGGAGGAGAGGAGAGUGAGAGAGACAAAGCAUAAAGGCACUGCGGAGAAGCUGGACGCCGUGAAGAAAUCUGUAGCCUGAGAGAGAGAGAGAGAGAGAGAGUGAGGAAGAAGGGAGGGUGAUUCUCUGAUCUGGAGCUCGUUGGGGGGAAAGGAGUUGGGAGAAUCUCAUGGGAGCUUUGAAGAAAUGGGGAAAAGAAGCUCCUUGAUCCGUUCUUGAGCCGGAAAAAGUGAUCUUUCGGGUCGUGUGGCUGGAGAAAUUUGGAUCUUGAGGCUAACGGAGGACAACGCCUCGAUUCUUCCGGCGCUCCGUUGCUGCAUUGCCUUCUUGUCCCCAGAUCCGAGCUGCCGUGCGAGGAAAAGCCGGAUCUUUUGCCUGCGUUCUUCCCAAAUCCGCCCAAAUUUUGAGCUCUUGAGCUGUUUCAUGGUAGCCCCGUGCUAGCUUCAAAUCUUUUUCAGAAAGAACAUUUGUUUAGUUGGGGGUUAGAUAUGGCAGGGAUUCGGACUACUUUAUGAGCUGUCUCCUGCCAUUUUUUUUAGAGUAGAUUCGUCAGUAAUGGCGGAUCUUGCCAUGGAGUAGUAGCAGGGGUUUCCUUCGGUGAUAGCGAAGCGUACUAGCCAUAAGCGGCG